AUUGAACGCUGGCGGCAUGCCUUACACAUGCAAGUCGAACGGUAACGCGGGGCAACCUGGCGACGAGUGGCGAACGGGUGAGUAAUGCAUCGGAACGUACCCAGUAGUGGGGGAUAGCUCGGCGAAAGCCGGAUUAAUACCGCAUACGACCCAUGGGUGAAAGCGGGGGAUCGCAAGACCUCGCGCUGGUGGAGCGGCCGAUGUCAGAUUAGGUUGUUGGUGAGGUAAAGGCUCACCAAGCCGACGAUCUGUAGCU
RNAcentral lists this ribosomal RNA (256 nucleotides) under uncultured bacterium. RNAcentral describes it as "partial 16S ribosomal RNA". It matches the Rfam family "Bacterial small subunit ribosomal RNA", at positions 30 to 288 of the family's 1533-position model. The record is from RNAcentral.